RNAcentral lists this ribosomal RNA (253 nucleotides) under uncultured prokaryote. Its description in RNAcentral is "partial 16S ribosomal RNA". It matches the Rfam family "Bacterial small subunit ribosomal RNA", at positions 524 to 776 of the family's 1533-position model. The record is from RNAcentral.
GACGAACCGUGCAAACGUUAUUCGGAAUCACUGGGCUUAAAGGGCGCGUAGGCGGGCUCGCAAGUCAGGGGUGAAAUACCACGGCUCAACCGUGGCAGGGCCUUUGAUACUGCGAACCUCGAGGGAGGUAGGGGCGUGCGGAACUUCCGGUGGAGCGGUGAAAUGCGUAGGUAUCGGAAGGAACACCGGUGGCGAAAGCGGCGCGCUGGACCUCUUCUGACGCUGAGGCGCGAAAGCCAGGGGAGCAAACGGG